UGGGGAAUAUUGCACAAUGGGGGAAACCCUGAUGCAGCGACGCCGCGUGAGCGAAGAAGGCUUUCGAGUCGUAAAGCUCUGUCCUAUGAGAAGAUAAUGACGGUAUCAUAGGAGGAAGCCCCGGCUAAAUACGUGCCAGCAGCCGCGGUAAUACGUAUGGGGCAAGCGUUACCCGGAUUUACUGGGUGUAAAGGGAGCGUAGGCGGCAGUACAAGUCGGGAGUGAAAACUCGGGGCUCAACCCCGAGACUGCUCUCGAAACUGUACAGCUAGAGUGCAGGAAGGGCAGGCGGAAUUCCUGGUGUAGCGGUGAAAUGCGUAGAUAUCAGGAGGAACACCGGUGGCGAAGGCGGCCUGCUGGACUGUAACUGACGCUGAGGCUCGAAAGCGUGGGGAGCGAACAGG
This 404-nucleotide ribosomal RNA is filed under the name Verrucomicrobiota bacterium. RNAcentral describes it as "Verrucomicrobia bacterium partial 16S ribosomal RNA". It matches the Rfam family "Bacterial small subunit ribosomal RNA", at positions 355 to 776 of the family's 1533-position model. Lineage: Bacteria; Pseudomonadati; Verrucomicrobiota. The record is from RNAcentral.